Molecule: unclassified non-coding RNA, 323 nt
Organism: Cavia porcellus (domestic guinea pig)
Lineage: Eukaryota; Metazoa; Chordata; Mammalia; Rodentia; Caviidae
Gene: 7SK
Rfam family: 7SK RNA
About the family: 7SK was discovered as an abundant small nuclear RNA in the mid-70s but a possible function has only recently been suggested. Two independent studies have found that 7SK RNA binds the CDK9/cyclin T complex (known as elongation factor P-TEFb).
Source: Ensembl
GGAUGUGAGGGCGAUCUGACUGUAACAUCUAUCACUCCAUUGAUCACCAGGGUUGAUUCAUUGAUCUGGCUGGCUAGGUGGGUAUUCCCUUGCCCCCUCAGUGAUCCAUGUGCAUCCUCCUGAAGCUGCAUGUUCAGUCAGAGAGGACGGCCACCCCUGAUAGAGGAGGACUGUUCCUCAGUCAAGGGUAUAUGAGUAUGCGCUCCCCUGUUAGAAGCUCCAAACAAGUUCUCAAGAGAUCUUUCCUUUCAUGAUUGCUAGCUGCAAUCUGGUCUUAAAAUUCUGAAAGCCUGGGCUUGGAAUUUAGCUCAAUGGCCUAAAUG